UCUUUUCUAAGCAAAUGCACAUGUAUUUUCAUAUUGAGUUUGUGCAACUAUUACGGCAAGGAACACAUGCAUAUUAUGACUGAUCAGAGACCUAUUAUUAGAUCCCCGCACAUGUACUUAAUGAUUAUAGGAAGGCCUCAGGAGUUUAUAUUUGUUUAAUGCAUUUUUAUUAAGCCGUAUCUAUAAAAGAAGUACGAGUAUCCUUGUCCGUACUAUAAGGUUCAUGAUUUGGUUUUCACAUAAAGAUAGAGGUUGAAUACCCUGGCUAGAUCACCUAAGUGCCUUAUGUUCCGACCUUGGUUGACCUAUAGUCACGAUGCAGUCACGUUAUAUGGUUCA
Molecule: long non-coding RNA, 339 nt
Filed under: Phoenix dactylifera (date palm)
Lineage: Eukaryota; Viridiplantae; Streptophyta; Magnoliopsida; Arecales; Arecaceae
Description: long non-coding RNA (PDAC_LNC005893)
Source: RNAcentral